AUUUUACUGGAAUGUAAAGGUGGGUAGGAUUUAAAAAUUAAUGAAAUCAUUGGAGCAAGACUUGAAAUGAUGUUUGGGAUAUUUUCCUGCUGGUAAAAUCUGUUGUGGUCUUUGGGAUUGUGCUUUUAAUUAAUUAUAUAGAUAGCUACAAUAGAUUGUAGUUCAGAAAAGUCUAAACUAUAUGAACUGUAAGACAGUAAACUGGAACACACUACAUCUGGAUAUUAAUUUCCACUCUUACACUUUUUCACAUUUUUAAGUAACUCCUUAGGAAAUGAAUUAUUAAAAGCUCAAAUUCUCAGCAGAGCCAUAAUCUCUUCCAUCUUAGUUACCUCCACCUGAGUCUUUAUGUGCCAAAACAAAUAUUAACACAUUAGCUUGUCCAAAUAAUCUCACAAAGUUGUUUCUGUUUAUGCCCAAUUCCAAGGCAAAAACUGGUGAACCUAUUUUGGCCUACUUCACUUUUAGUAAUUUUUAUUUGUCAAACUUUAAUUUCCCAAAUCAUCAAGCUAAUUUUUACUACUAAACAAAAAUAACCAGAGUAAACACAAACUGCAGUUUUCAGGCAAAUAUUUAAUCUCUCACUGUGCCACCUUUAGCAACUGCAAAUCCAAAGCAAUUUGGAUUUUGCAACCACAUUAUGGCUGCAAAACCCUCUGAAAACCCUCCAAUGUGGUUCAACUAAUACAUUUCUUCAAAGAAUAGAGGGUCAAAAGUAACUUUGAGAUCUUUUUGCUGCACUUUUUGUUACAUUUUAAUAAUCUUUGUUGGGUUCUCCUGUAAAAAAAUGUUUGGGAUGUAUUUAGGAUCAGUCAGUCAGGUUUCUUCUACUCACAUACAGCGCAAAAAUAUAAGAAAUAUUACGUACAAAAAGUAAAAAUAAACAUUUCUUAUAGCGGUUGGAGAAGCACGCGCUUCUGGAUUCCAAAAACAGACUGCAGGAAGCAAAAGGAUGAAGAGGAUAUGUUUACAAUUCCAGAGAGAAAAUGAGGACCAAAUAUGUCUGUGUAAGCUACACCAAAAUGUGCUGAAAGCUGGGUUGCUGAAACUCAGUAAGGGCUGGCUCAUAAUAGGAGCUGGUGGAAAGCAAUGAGGGAGACUAAUUUGAGAAGAUGUGGGUAACGGUUAUCCUACCCGGUCAAACAGGUCCGGCACACACGCAGGUGCUCGGAUAAACGGACAUGAAGCAGUGCACACACAGCUCAUUAUCAUGUUUAGUGACAUGGUAAAGCUUUCUUUGGCAUCUCAGAAAUAAAUACAAUUGGUUUUUUUGUUUUUUUUGCCCCCAAUUCUGGGACUUUUAGUCUUCAUCAAGUUUGAAGGUUUUUCUUCUGCAUACAUCCAUUUGACCUCUAAUGGCCAUCUUUAAAAUUUAAAGUGCAGUGUUUCCUCAAAGGAUUGGCAGAUUAAAGAAAAAGAAAUUGGAAGUUGUGCCAAGCUCCAGUCACAGACAGGCCCUCGAGCUGCUGCGUUCUCACAUUUCAGCGAGCAGGAAUGGGCAAAGCUCCAGGGAAAAGGACAUUCUCUCUUGUUGUUUCCAUUCCCCUGCAUUCCUGCCUCCCCUUGACAUGUGGCUCCAGAAGGGUGCAGCCGGAGACGAAGGGAGGAAGAGAUGUGGCGGAUCGGUCCAUCCAGACUGAAUACCUCGGCGUUGCCUUCUAGUAACUAAUCCCAUUGACAGAGACAGACACCUGCUCUCAUAUAAAGCCCUUCUACUCUUUUACAUUUAUGUAAAAGGUCCUUUAUUAUGGCGCCCCUGGAAUGCCGGCACCCCGUAACAUUUGCCUAUGCUGCCAAUGCCACAGGUAGGCCCUGCAUGAUCAACCCACACAAAGUUGUGAAGUGGAAGGACAAUAAAACAGUUUUUAAAAUCG
This is a long non-coding RNA of Xiphophorus couchianus (Monterrey platyfish), 1874 nucleotides long. RefSeq lists it as uncharacterized. The transcript has 2 exons. Lineage: Eukaryota; Metazoa; Chordata; Actinopteri; Cyprinodontiformes; Poeciliidae. The record is from RefSeq and is a predicted model, not a curated record.